This 575-nucleotide small RNA is filed under the name Fusarium petroliphilum. RNAcentral's name for it is "eukaryotic LSU rRNA". The stretch from base 182 to 335 matches the Rfam family "5.8S ribosomal RNA". Lineage: Eukaryota; Fungi; Ascomycota; Sordariomycetes; Hypocreales; Nectriaceae. The record is from RNAcentral.
UCCGUAGGUGAACCUGCGGAGGGAUCAUUACCGAGUUAUUCAACUCAUCAACCCUGUGAACUUACCUAAACGUUGCUUCGGCGGGAAUAGACGGCCCUGUAAAACGGGCCGCCCCCGCCAGAGGACCCUUAACUCUGUUUCUUAUAAUGUUUCUUCUGAGUAAAACAAGCAAAUAAAUUAAAACUUUCAACAACGGAUCUCUUGGCUCUGGCAUCGAUGAAGAACGCAGCGAAAUGCGAUAAGUAAUGUGAAUUGCAGAAUUCAGUGAAUCAUCGAAUCUUUGAACGCACAUUGCGCCCGCCAGUAUUCUGGCGGGCAUGCCUGUUCGAGCGUCAUUACAACCCUCAGGCCCCCGGGCCUGGCGUUGGGGAUCGGCGGAGCGCCCCUCGUGGGCGCACGCCGUCCCCCAAAUACAGUGGCGGUCCCGCCGCAGCUUCCAUCGCGUAGUAGCUAACACCUCGCGACUGGAGAGCGGCGCGGCCACGCCGUAAAACACCCCAACUCUUCUGAAGUUGACCUCGAAUCAGGUAGGAAUACCCGCUGAACUUAAGCAUAUCAAUAAGCGGAGGAAAAGA